GAUGAACGCUGGCGGCGCACCUAACACAUGCAAGUCGAACGAGUGGCGAACGGGUGAGUAACACGUGACCAACCCGCCCCCCCCACCGGGACAACCUCGGGAAACCGAGGCUAAUACCGGAUAGGGGGGGACGGGGGCGCGGCCCAUCAGGGAGACGGCGGGGCGACGGCCCGCCGUGCCGACGACGGGUAGCCGGGCUGAGAGGCCGAGCGGUCACAUGGGGACUGAGACACGGCUCAGACUCCUACGGGAGGCAGCAGUGGGGAAUAUGGCGCAAUGGGGGGAACCCUGACGGAGCGACGCCGCGUGCGGGAAGGAGGCCUGCGGGUCGUAAACCGCUUUCAGCAGGGAAGCGGUACCUGAAGAAGAAGCCCCGGCUAACUACGUGCCAGCAGCCGCGGUAAUUC
This 407-nucleotide ribosomal RNA is filed under the name uncultured bacterium. RNAcentral's name for it is "partial 16S ribosomal RNA". It matches the Rfam family "Bacterial small subunit ribosomal RNA", at positions 28 to 526 of the family's 1533-position model. The record is from RNAcentral.